AACGAACGCUGGCGGCAGGCUUAACACAUGCAAGCCGAACGCAUCCUUCGGGGUGAGUGGCAGACGGGUGAGUAACGCGUGGGAACGUGCCCUUCAGUUCGGGAUAACCCAGGGAAACUUGGGCUAAUACCGGAUACGUGCGAGAGCAGAAAGAUUUAUCGCUGAAGGAUCGGCCCGCGUCUGAUUAGCUAGUUGGUGGGGUAAUGGCCCACCAAGGCGACGAUCAGUAGCUGGUCUGAGAGGAUGAUCAGCCACAUUGGGACUGAGACACGGCCCAAACUCCUACGGGAGGCAGCAGUGGGGAAUAUUGGACAAUGGGCGCAAGCCUGAUCCAGCCAUGCCGCGUGAGUGAUGAAGGCCCUAGGGUUGUAAAGCUCUUUCGCCAGGGACGAUAAUGACGGUACCUGGAUAAGAAGCCCCGGCUAACUUCGUGCCAGCAGCCGCCGUAA
RNAcentral lists this ribosomal RNA (449 nucleotides) under uncultured bacterium. RNAcentral's name for it is "partial 16S ribosomal RNA". It matches the Rfam family "Bacterial small subunit ribosomal RNA", at positions 29 to 523 of the family's 1533-position model. The record is from RNAcentral.